UACGUAGGAGACAAGCGUUAUCCGGAUUCAUUGGGCGUAAAGUGUGCGUAGGCUCCUUAAAUAGUCGUACCUUAAAUACUAAGGCUUAACCUUGGAACUGGGUACGAUACUUUUAAGGUAGAGGAUUGUCAGGGGUACUGGAACAGUUAGUGUAGCAGUGAAAUGCGUUGAUAUUAACUGGAACACCAAAGGCGAAGGCAAGUACCUGGGAUUUUCCUGACGCUGAGGCACGAAAGCUAGGGGAGCGAAACAG
This 253-nucleotide ribosomal RNA is filed under the name uncultured bacterium. RNAcentral's name for it is "partial 16S ribosomal RNA". It matches the Rfam family "Bacterial small subunit ribosomal RNA", at positions 524 to 776 of the family's 1533-position model. The record is from RNAcentral.